This 765-nucleotide ribosomal RNA is filed under the name uncultured Streptococcus sp. RNAcentral's name for it is "bacterial SSU rRNA". It matches the Rfam family "Bacterial small subunit ribosomal RNA", at positions 28 to 776 of the family's 1533-position model. Lineage: Bacteria; Bacillati; Bacillota; Bacilli; Lactobacillales; Streptococcaceae. The record is from RNAcentral.
GAUGAACGCUGGCGGCGUGCCUAAUACAUGCAAGUAGAACGCUGAAGCUUGGUGCUUGCACCGAGCGGAUGAGUUGCGAACGGGUGAGUAACGCGUAGGUAACCUGCCUCUUAGCGGGGGAUAACUAUUGGAAACGAUAGCUAAUACCGCAUAAAAGUCGAUAUCGCAUGAUAUUGAUUUGAAAGGUGCAAUUGCAUCACUAAGAGAUGGACCUGCGUUGUAUUAGCUAGUUGGUGAGGUAACGGCUCACCAAGGCGACGAUACAUAGCCGACCUGAGAGGGUGAUCGGCCACACUGGGACUGAGACACGGCCCAGACUCCUACGGGAGGCAGCAGUAGGGAAUCUUCGGCAAUGGACGGAAGUCUGACCGAGCAACGCCGCGUGAGUGAAGAAGGUUUUCGGAUCGUAAAGCUCUGUUGUAAGAGAAGAACGAGUGUGAGAGUGGAAAGUUCACACUGUGACGGUAACUUACCAGAAAGGGACGGCUAACUACGUGCCAGCAGCCGCGGUAAUACGUAGGUCCCGAGCGUUAUCCGGAUUUAUUGGGCGUAAAGCGAGCGCAGGCGGUUAGAUAAGUCUGAAGUUAAAGGCUGUGGCUUAACCAUAGUACGCUUUGGAAACUGUUUAACUUGAGUGCAGAAGGGGAGAGUGGAAUUCCAUGUGUAGCGGUGAAAUGCGUAGAUAUAUGGAGGAACACCGGUGGCGAAAGCGGCUCUCUGGUCUGUAACUGACGCUGAGGCUCGAAAGCGUGGGGAGCGAACAGG